RNAcentral lists this ribosomal RNA (197 nucleotides) under uncultured bacterium. RNAcentral describes it as "partial 16S ribosomal RNA". It matches the Rfam family "Bacterial small subunit ribosomal RNA", at positions 328 to 539 of the family's 1533-position model. The record is from RNAcentral.
ACGCUCGACACCUACGGGAGGCAGCAGUGGGGAAUAUUGCACAAUGGGGGAAACCCUGAUGCAGCGACGCCGCGUGAGCGAAGAAGUAUUUCGGUAUGUAAAGCUCUAUCAGCAGGGAAGAAACUGACGGUACCUGACUAAGAAGCACCGGCUAAAUACGUGCCAGCAGCCCGGUAAUCUGAGCGGGCUGGCAAGGC